UACGUAGGGUGCGAGCGUUGUCCGGAAUUACUGGGCGUAAAGAGUUCGUAGGCGGUUUGUCGCGUCGUUUGUGAAACCCGGAGCUCAACUCCGGGCCUGCAGUCGAUACGGGCAAACUGGAGUGUUGCAGGGGAGACUGGAAUUCCUGGUGUAGCGGUGAAAUGCGCAGAUAUCAGGAGGAACACCGGUGGCGAAGGCGGGUCUCUGGGCAACAACUGACGCUGAGGAGCGAAAGCGUGGGGAGCGAACAGG
Molecule: ribosomal RNA, 252 nt
Filed under: uncultured bacterium
Lineage: Bacteria
Description: partial 16S ribosomal RNA
Rfam family: Bacterial small subunit ribosomal RNA
Source: RNAcentral